RNAcentral lists this long non-coding RNA (220 nucleotides) under Mytilus galloprovincialis (Mediterranean mussel). Lineage: Eukaryota; Metazoa; Mollusca; Bivalvia; Mytilida; Mytilidae. The record is from RNAcentral.
GUUUUGAUUUAUAUCAAUUAUAUAAAACAAAACAUAAAGGUUAUUCCUGAUUAAUUUUUUGAAUUAUUUUAUAAUUAAAGGCGUUGAGAAACCUUUGGUGACCUCACAGUUUAAAUGUCUAUCGUAGGUACGUCGUGAACAGUGGUCGUUACAGACAAACGUUCAUGUAAAUUGUCCCAGUCAAUGGAUGAAUUUAAUGUGUCAAUCAAUGGCCACAGCC